CAGUCGCCACGGGAAUACGAAGGGUGCAAGCGUUACUCGGAAUUACUGGGCGUAAAGCGUGCGUAGGUGGUGGUUUAAGUCCGUUGUGAAAGCCCUGGGCUCAACCUGGGAAUUGCAGUGGAUACUGGGUCACUAGAGUGUGGUAGAGGAUAGUGGAAUUUCCGGUGUAGCAGUGAAAUGCGCAGAGAUCGGAAGGAACAUCUGUGGCGAAGGCGACUAUCUGGGCCAACACUGACACUGAGGCACGAAAGCGUGGGGAGCAAACAGGAUUAGAUACCCCAGUAGUCCCUGUCUCUUAUAC
This 301-nucleotide ribosomal RNA is filed under the name uncultured bacterium. RNAcentral describes it as "partial 16S ribosomal RNA". It matches the Rfam family "Bacterial small subunit ribosomal RNA", at positions 509 to 807 of the family's 1533-position model. The record is from RNAcentral.